GUCAUCCUACGGGACGCAGCAGUGAGGAAUAUUGGUCAAUGGACGAGAGUCUGAACCAGCCAAGUAGCGUGAAGGAUGACUGCGCUAUGGGUUGUAAUCUUCUUUUAUAUGGGAAUAAAACGUUCCACGUGUGGGAUUUUGUAUGCACCAUAUGAAUAAGGAUCGGCUAACUCCGUGCCAGCAGCCGCGGUAAUACGGAGGAUGCGAGCGUUAUCCGGAUUUAUUGGGUUUAAAGGGUGCGCAGGCGGGCUGUUAAGCCGGCGGUAAAAAUUCAGGG
This 277-nucleotide ribosomal RNA is filed under the name uncultured bacterium. RNAcentral's name for it is "partial 16S ribosomal RNA". It matches the Rfam family "Bacterial small subunit ribosomal RNA", at positions 333 to 607 of the family's 1533-position model. The record is from RNAcentral.